RNAcentral lists this small RNA (2005 nucleotides) under Pan troglodytes (chimpanzee). Its description in RNAcentral is "retained intron". The record is from RNAcentral. Lineage: Eukaryota; Metazoa; Chordata; Mammalia; Primates; Hominidae.
AUCCACAAAAAGAAACUAUAAAUGUGAUCCAGAGAAAGAGACAAUUGAAGUGUCUGUAAAAUCUGAUGAUAAACAUAUGCAUGACCAUAAUCACCGCCUACGUCAUCACCAUCGUUUGCAUCAUCAUCUUGAUCAUAACAACACUCACCAUUUUCAUAAUGAUUCCAUUACUCCCAGUGAGCGUGGGGAGCCUAGCAAUGAACCUUCAACAGAGACCAAUAAAACCCAGGAACAAUCUGAUGUUAAACUACCGAAAGGAAAGAGGAAGAAAAAAGGGAGGAAAAGUAAUGAAAAUUCUGAGGUUAUUACACCAGGUUUUCCCCCUAACCAUGAUCAGGGUGAACAGUAUGAGCAUAAUCGGGUCCACAAACCUGAUCGUGUACAUAACCCAGGUCAUUCUCAUGUACAUCUUCCAGAACGUAAUGGUCAUGAUCCUGGUCGUGGACACCAAGAUCUUGAUCCUGAUAAUGAAGGUGAACUUCGACAUACUAGAAAGAGAGAAGCACCACAUGUUAAAAAUAAUGCAAUAAUUUCUUUGAGAAAAGAUCUUAAUGAAGAUGACCAUCAUCAUGAAUGUUUGAACGUCACUCAGUUAUUAAAAUACUAUGGUCAUGGUGCCAACUCUCCCAUCUCAACUGAUUUAUUUACAUACCUUUGCCCUGCAUUGUUAUAUCAAAUCGACAGCAGACUUUGUAUUGAGCAUUUUGACAAACUUUUAGUUGAAGAUAUAAAUAAGGAUAAAAACCUGGUUCCUGAAGAUGAGGCAAAUAUAGGGGCAUCAGCCUGGAUUUGUGGUAUCAUUUCUAUCACUGUCAUUAGCCUGCUUUCCUUGCUAGGCGUGAUCUUGGUUCCUAUCAUUAACCAAGGAUGCUUCAAAUUCCUUCUUACAUUCCUUGUUGCAUUAGCUGUAGGAACAAUGAGUGGAGACGCCCUUCUUCAUCUACUGCCCCAUUCUCAGGGUGGACAUGAUCACAGUCACCAACAUGCACAUGGGCAUGGACAUUCUCAUGGACAUGAAUCUAACAAGUUUUUGGAAGAAUAUGAUGCUGUAUUGAAAGGACUUGUUGCUCUAGGAGGCAUUUACUUGCUAUUUAUCAUUGAACACUGCAUUAGAAUGUUUAAGCACUACAAACAACAAAGAGGAAAACAGAAAUGGUUUAUGAAACAGAACACAGAAGAAUCAACUAUUGGAAGAAAGCUUUCAGAUCACAAGUUAAACAAUACACCAGAUUCUGACUGGCUUCAACUCAAGCCUCUUGCCGGAACUGAUGACUCGGUUGUUUCUGAAGAUCGACUUAAUGAAACUGAACUGACAGAUCUAGAAGGCCAACAAGAAUCCCCUCCUAAAAAUUACCUUUGUAUAGAAGAGGAGAAAAUCAUAGACCAUUCUCACAGUGAUGGAUUACAUACCAUUCAUGAGCAUGAUCUCCAUGCUGCUGCACAUAACCACCACGGCGAGAACAAAACUGUGCUGAGGAAGCAUAAUCACCAGUGGCACCACAAGCAUUCUCAUCAUUCCCAUGGCCCCUGUCAUUCUGGAUCCGAUCUGAAAGAAACAGGAAUAGCUAAUAUAGCCUGGAUGGUGAUCAUGGGGGAUGGCAUCCACAACUUCAGUGAUGGGCUCGCAAUUGGUAAGUGGACUGGAAACCACUGUCUGUGCUAAUCUUAUGGACUAUAAUAUGUAUGAUUAAAUUUGGCUGGAGCUUAACAAAUACACGGUUAUGUAUCACUCUGGUCAGUUGAUUUUUCCCAAAGGCUACAGUUUUGUGUUCAGUUGUUACAUUUGGAGGUGUAAGGGUAUAAUUUAGUGGGGUUUUUUAGAACACGUAAACAAAUGUCUGUAGUAUAUUUCUUUAAUAACUUGAUUUCUCAAAGUAGAGUUACCAUAUUGAAAAAACUGCUUAACAUUAUAUUUUGAAAUGUAUUUACAUAUCCCUAAAAGAGAACAGUUUAAUUUCAAUCUUAGGUUUAAUAAAUUUGCCAUAUCUUUGAAAAGGCAAAAAAA